GCCGCCGUGGUGAAAUUGGUAUACACACGACACUUAAAAUGUCGCGCCGUAAGGCUUGUCGGUUCGAGUCCGACCGGCGGCACCA
Molecule: transfer RNA, 85 nt
Filed under: Candidatus Kerfeldbacteria bacterium CG08_land_8_20_14_0_20_43_14
Lineage: Bacteria; Candidatus Kerfeldiibacteriota
Description: tRNA-Leu
Rfam family: tRNA
About the family: Transfer RNA (tRNA) molecules are approximately 80 nucleotides in length. Their secondary structure includes four short double-helical elements and three loops (D, anti-codon, and T loops). Further hydrogen bonds mediate the characteristic L-shaped molecular structure. tRNAs have two regions of fundamental functional importance: the anti-codon, which is responsible for specific mRNA codon recognition, and the 3' end, to which the tRNAs corresponding amino acid is attached (by aminoacyl-tRNA synthetases). tRNAs cope with the degeneracy of the genetic code in two manners: having more than one tRNA (with a specific anti-codon) for a particular amino acid; and 'wobble' base-pairing, i.e. permitting non-standard base-pairing at the 3rd anti-codon position.
Source: RNAcentral